RNAcentral lists this ribosomal RNA (1462 nucleotides) under Iningainema pulvinus. Its description in RNAcentral is "16S ribosomal RNA". It matches the Rfam family "Bacterial small subunit ribosomal RNA". The record is from RNAcentral. Lineage: Bacteria; Bacillati; Cyanobacteriota; Cyanophyceae; Nostocales; Scytonemataceae.
GGAUGAACGCUGGCGGUAUGCUUAACACAUGCAAGUCGAACGGACUCUUCGGAGUUAGUGGCGGACGGGUGAGUAACGCGUGAGAAUCUGGCUUCGGGUCGGGGACAACAGUGGGAAACCGCUGCUAAUACCGGAUGUGCCUAUAUGGUGAAAGAUUAAUUGCCUGAAGAUGAGCUCGCGUCUGAUUAGCUAGUUGGUGUGGUAAGAGCGCACCAAGGCGACGAUCAGUAGCUGGUCUGAGAGGAUGAUCAGCCACACUGGAACUGAGACACGGUCCAGACUCCUACGGGAGGCAGCAGUGGGGAAUUUUCCGCAAUGGGCGAAAGCCUGACGGAGCAAUACCGCGUGAGGGAGGAAGGCUCUUGGGUUGUAAACCUCUUUUCUCAAGGAAUAAGUUCUGAAGGUACUUGAGGAAUCAGCAUCGGCUAACUCCGUGCCAGCAGCCGCGGUAAUACGGAGGAUGCAAGCGUUAUCCGGAAUGAUUGGGCGUAAAGGGUCCGCAGGUGGCAUUGAAAGUCUGCUGUCAAAGAGUGCAGCUCAACUGCAUAAAGGCGGUGGAAACUACAAAGCUAGAGUACGUUAGGGGCAGAGGGAAUUCCUGGUGUAGCGGUGAAAUGCGUAGAGAUCAGGAAGAACACCGGUGGCGAAAGCGCUCUGCUAGGACUGUACUGACACUGAGGGACGAAAGCUAGGGGAGCGAAUGGGAUUAGAUACCCCAGUAGUCCUAGCCGUAAACGAUGGAUACUAGGCGUUGCGCGUAUCGACCCGCGCAGUGCCGGAGCUAACGCGUUAAGUAUCCCGCCUGGGGAGUACGCAGGCAACUGUGAAACUCAAAGGAAUUGACGGGGGCCCGCACAAGCGGUGGAGUAUGUGGUUUAAUUCGAUGCAACGCGAAGAACCUUACCAGGACUUGACAUGUCCGGAACCCUGAUGAAAGUUAGGGGUGCCUUCGGGAGCCGGAGCACAGGUGGUGCAUGGCUGUCGUCAGCUCGUGUCGUGAGAUGUUGGGUUAAGUCCCGCAACGAGCGCAACCCUCGUUCUUAGUUGCCAGCACUUCGGGUGGGCACUCUAAGGAGACUGCCGGUGACAAACCGGAGGAAGGUGGGGAUGACGUCAAGUCAGCAUGCCCCUUACGUCCUGGGCUACACACGUACUACAAUGCUGUGGACAAUGGGCAGCAAGCAGGCAACUGCAAGCAAAUCUCACAAACCAUGGCUCAGUUCAGAUCGAAGGCUGCAACUCGCCUUCGUGAAGGUGGAAUCGCUAGUAAUUGCAGGUCAGCAUACUGCAGUGAAUUCGUUCCCGGGCCUUGUACACACCGCCCGUCACACCAUGGAAGCUGGUAGUGCCCGAAGUCGUUACCCUAACCACUUGUGGGGGGGGACGCCGAAGGCAGGACUGGUGACUGGGGUGAAGUCGUAACAAGGUAGCCGUACCGGAAGGUGUGGCUGGAUCACCUCCU